GAACUCCCCAAAGCACCUUUAGGACUAAAAUUGGAAUGAUGCAGAGAAGAAUAGCAUGGCUUGUGCACAAGGAUCAGAAGAACACUCAUGAAGUGUUCUGCUGUUUU
Molecule: small nuclear RNA, 107 nt
Filed under: Catagonus wagneri (Chacoan peccary)
Lineage: Eukaryota; Metazoa; Chordata; Mammalia; Artiodactyla; Tayassuidae
Source: RNAcentral